CUACGGGGGGCUCCAGCAGGGAAUAUUGCACAAUGGACGGAAGUCUGAUGCAGCGACGCCGCGUGGAUGAUGAAGGCCUUCGGGUUGUAAAAUCCUUUUCAGGGAGAAGAGGAAGGACGGUAUCCCUGGAAUAAGCGUCGGCUAACUACGUGCCAGCAGCCGCGGGAUACGUAGGACGCAAGCGUUAUCCGGAUUUACUGGGCGUAAAGCGUCUGUAGGCGGUUUAGUAAGUUUGAUGUGAAAGCUCCAGGCUCAACUUGGAGAGUGCAUUGAAUACUGCUAGACUUGAGGGGAUCAGAGGAAAGCGGAAUUUCCGGUGUAGCGGUAAAAUGCGCAGAUAUCGGAAAGAACACCAGUGGCGAAGGCGGCUUUCUGGGAUCAACCUGACGCUGAGCGACGAAAGCUAGGGUAGCGAACAGGAUUAGAUACCCUUGUAGUC
RNAcentral lists this ribosomal RNA (439 nucleotides) under uncultured bacterium. RNAcentral describes it as "partial 16S ribosomal RNA". It matches the Rfam family "Bacterial small subunit ribosomal RNA", at positions 339 to 795 of the family's 1533-position model. The record is from RNAcentral.